CUCAUUUUGACUAGACUAUCAAAUCAUCCAAAAAUGGUGGUUUUACUACCAAACUCUUCAAUUUAUUUGAUUUCAAUCAGUUAAUGACAUUUUGACUUCAAAUUUGAAUAUAAUUUUUAUCUUUAUAGAUUUAAUUAGUAUAUUUUAUGUAAUUCUUAUAAUUAUAAAUCUAAUAAAGUAAUAAGUUUAAAUUUUGAAGUAAAAAUAUCAUUGACUAACUGAAAUGAAAUAAAUUAAAAAUUGGAUUGUAGAAUUAAAAUUUUAAAAGAUUUGAUGGUUGAUUCAAAAUAGUCUAUAGUCCAUGUAUGAU
RNAcentral lists this long non-coding RNA (310 nucleotides) under Ananas comosus (pineapple). RNAcentral describes it as "long non-coding RNA (ACOM_LNC032101)". The record is from RNAcentral. Lineage: Eukaryota; Viridiplantae; Streptophyta; Magnoliopsida; Poales; Bromeliaceae.